Molecule: ribosomal RNA, 372 nt
Filed under: uncultured organism
Description: bacterial SSU rRNA
Rfam family: Bacterial small subunit ribosomal RNA
Source: RNAcentral
CGUAGGUACCGAGCGUUAUCCGGAUUUACUGGGCGUAAAGCGCGUUCAGGCGGUUUGGCAAGUCGGGCAUGAAAUCUCUCGGCUCAACCGGGAGAGGUUGUCCGAUACUGCCAGACUUGAGGGCAGUAGAGGGUGGUGGAAUUCCGGGUGUAGUGGUGAAAUGCGUAGAUAUCCGGAGGAACACCAGUGGCGAAAGCGGCCACCUGGACUGCACCUGACGCUGACACGCGAAAGCUAGGGGAGCGAACGGGAUUAGAAACCCCGGUAGUCCUAGCUAUAAACGAUGUUGACUAGGUGUCGACGGUCUAAACCCCGCCGGUGCCGGAGCAAACGCAUUAAGUCAACCGCCUGGGGACUACGGCCGCAAGGUUA